Molecule: long non-coding RNA, 2490 nt
Organism: Chelonia mydas (Green sea turtle)
Lineage: Eukaryota; Metazoa; Chordata; Testudines; Cheloniidae
Exons: 3
Source: RefSeq, a predicted model, not a curated record
CCCAAACCCCUUUCAGAAGAUGCAGGGAAUCUUACAGUAAAUUCUUCCCACAUGGUCCCCUUUGUAAAGCCAGUCUGUCAGAGCUUGCCUUAGCACAAGAAAAUAAUGCCAGGCAGUGGGACAGCGAUGGACAGCUGCUGCUCUCUUGACAUUGGACGUCAGGGAGGGACUCCAUGAUGGACACAGGAAUGGGCACAAUGCCCCGGUGUUGACUGGAUACCAGGACCUGUGGACGUGGUGUGUUUUUAUUAUUAUUCUCACAGGAUUCCUGAACACCGGAUUGUGCUGCUGCUACUCCCCCUGCUGAGGGUGUGCAUUCUCCAGCCGGUCCAGAUUGCACAUUCGGUUCGUCAGGAGAGCUGUGAGAAACGACAUCGGAGAAGAGCCGAGUGACAUUCCAGUCAACAUGAGGAAUGAAGCCACAGGUGGUUUGGUGGUCCUUGAGUUGGAUGAAUUUACUCGCGUCCGCAGUCGCAGCAGAGGAGGCCCACUAGCAGUGCUACGACGACACCCGUGUCCCAGGACCCCUGGGAGAAGGUUGAACGAUCCUAGCUGUUACACUGUUAGGAAAUGGCUCAGGAUCAGAAAACACCCCAUGGAUUCCCUUCCAUGAUCCGGACAUCCAGAUACGGUGGCUUGAUCUGAAUACCAGCAUUACUUUAAAACCCCUAGGAAGCACUCAUGUUUAUGUGGGGGAGGGAGAAUUGGGAUUACAGGUAAACAUCUCAGUCCCCACGGGGAGGGAAAGUAAUUGGAUGGUGGGGAUACAAACUGAAGGCUAUUUUGGAGACAGCACCACAAUUGCAUACUAGCCCUUACUCCCCUAGAUUUGGGAUGGGUUUGUAAAAUCAGGAACCUUGGUAACAGUUAUUGUCGUAUACUGCCCACACACACACACAGGCAUUCCCAGAUGAUUGUGCAUGGAAGUGGGAAAAGAGUACGUAUUUAUGAGAAAUACACCAAGGUCCAUGAAGAAACCUGCACUGUUCAAGGUCCAGACCACACUGGUGAAAGUUUUAGUAAGCCCCCUUCUGGUAAACAUAAAAAUUAACAUGGAUUGGACAAGGUUAAAUGUUUCUAACAUAGAGCCCAAAUGUAUACCUUACUCCCUUUCCAUUCUUUCAGCGUGGAUAAGAACACACCAGCAUUCCCCUCUCACUAGGGCCAAAAGAGAUCUUAUGGAUACAAUGCUGGGGAGUUUUGGUGUGGGAGCAGGACUCAUGAAUUCUGUGGAUUUAAAAGCAAUUAAAAAUAAAUUAAGCUCUCUGUCCCAGCUACAGGACAGCCUGAUACAGAAACAGAUACAUGCUAAUGUGGAUCUAGUCCAAAUAGGUCUUGGUAAUUUAAAAGCUAGAUGGAACCUAUAGUAAUGGCUCAAUGCUACCACCUGGCUGCUGCAUAAGAAACAGGUAAAAAUGCAAAACCAUGCAUAGCCAUUUGAUGUACUGAAAUGCAGAUACUUGCUUUGUCCACAUUGGCACACGAAAAGUUUUGGGUAAUAUCAGGAAACACCAAGGUUUUAAUACACUUGUUGAAGCAAAGAAAAAGGUCAUUGUUUGAUACUGCAUCUACUCAUAUUGACAAGUAUGUUUCUAGCAUGGUAAAACCAGACCUUUUAAUUGGAGAAAUUGUUGUCAGGAUUGCACAUUAACAGUCUCUGGAAGCAAAGAUAUGGAAAGUUAGCCCACUCCCCUAUUGCACAUUGGAUAGUUCUGGCUACCCCGGAUCUCGAGCCAGUGGGCUGGGGAGGGAGGGAAGCUAUUGGACACGAGAGGUUAUACCGAGUGGACUCCUCAAAAGUGGGUGUGCUUGUCCCUACCUGUUGCUCCAGAGCCCUGUAGUAAAGACAUUUCACUAGGAUCGUGUAUGUGGGAUGAAUUAAACAAUGAAAGCAAAGUAUUAUAUAAUGAGCAAUGUGUAUGUGUUAAUUCCUGGGAGGAGGUGUUUUGGGAGGAUGGAAGUGUUAGCAACCCACCAGUGGACAAAUGUAAAUGCAAUGUAAAUGCUGUGUUUACCAAUAAUCACACCUACUAUUUGGCACAGCCAGAAAAGUCUCUGCUUACUGUAAGCACUGAUUUAGCUGAGUUCUCUGUCAGUCUUGGCAUUGAAUAGCAGGAAUUCACCACUCACCUGUUUAAAAGGUAAAGAGGUAACACAGUUCCGAGAACAGACAAAAGGCAAUGUGGGAAACCGAACAAUCCAUAUUAUGCAUGCAGACGGGGACAUGUUAAGAAUUGCCACUGCAGAAAGACAGAUAACAGUUUACAUAUUUUCUGGAUGGUCUCCCACAACUACUGGCAAACUAUCUGUAAUGCAACAUCCCCUACUAAUUGUUUUGGUUUUGAAUUGUAUUUGUCUAACUGGGAUGUUUGGAAUGUGUGCAAGACGAGAGCCACAGGCCCAAAUUGUCUCCCCGUACUUUCUAUUAAACAGAUUAAAUAAGAAGUGACACUAGUGAUUAACAGGUUUCAGAGUAGCAGCCGUGUUAGU